GCCUGGGUGGCUUAGUUGGUUAAGCAUCUGACUCUUGGUUUCAGCUCAGGUCAUGACCUCAGGAUCAUGAGAUCAAGUCCCAUGUCAGGCU
This 91-nucleotide transfer RNA is filed under the name Ailuropoda melanoleuca (giant panda). It matches the Rfam family "tRNA". From Rfam's summary of the family: Transfer RNA (tRNA) molecules are approximately 80 nucleotides in length. Lineage: Eukaryota; Metazoa; Chordata; Mammalia; Carnivora; Ursidae. The record is from Rfam by way of RNAcentral.